Molecule: ribosomal RNA, 442 nt
Filed under: uncultured bacterium
Lineage: Bacteria
Description: partial 16S ribosomal RNA
Rfam family: Bacterial small subunit ribosomal RNA
Source: RNAcentral
CCUACGGGUGGCAGCAGUAGGGAAUCUUUCACAAUGGGCGAAAGCCUGAUGGAGCAACGCCGCGUGCAGGAUGAAGGCCUUCGGGUUGUAAACUGCUUUUGUAAGCGAGAAAUAUGAUGGUAACUUAUGAAUAAGGAUCGGCUAACUACGUGCCAGCAGCCGCGGUCAUACGUAGGGUCCGAGCGUUAUCCGGAGUCACUGGGUGUAAAGAGUUGCGUAGGGGGGUGAAUAAAUAGCUAUUGAAAUCUGGUGGCUCAACCAUUAGGACUAUUAGCGAAACUGUUAAGCUCGAGUGCGUUAGAGGUAACUGGAAUUUCUGGUGUAGGAGUGAAAUCCGUAGAGAUUAGAAGGAACACUAAUAGCGUAGGCGGGUUGCUGGGACGGUUCUGACACUAAGGCACGAAAGCGUAGGGAGCAAACGGGAUUAGAUACCCUAGUAGUC